Molecule: ribosomal RNA, 243 nt
Filed under: uncultured bacterium
Lineage: Bacteria
Description: partial 16S ribosomal RNA
Rfam family: Bacterial small subunit ribosomal RNA
Source: RNAcentral
GAUCAUGGCUCAGGAUGAACGCUAGCUACAGGCUUAACACACGCAAGUCGAGGGGCAGCAUUUUAGUUUGCUUGCAAACUGAAGAUGGCGACCGGCGCACGGGUGAGUAACACGUAUCCAACCUGCCGAUAACUCCGGGAUAGCCUUUCGAAAGAAAGAUUAAUACCGGAUAGCAUACGAAUAUCGCAUGAUAUUUUUAUUAAAGAAUUUCGGUUAUCGAUGGGGAUGCGUUCCAUUAGUUUG